GACGUAGGGGGCGAGCGUUGUCCGGAAUUACUGGGCGUAAAGAGCACGUAGGCGGGACUUUAAGUCAGGUGUGAAAGACCGGGGCUCAACCCCGGGGUUGCACUUGAAACUGGAGUUCUUGAGGGCAGGAGAGGGCAGUAGAAUUCCUGGUGUAGCGGUGAAAUGCGUAGAAAUCAGGAGGAAUACCAGUGGCGAAGGCGACUGCCUGGACUGACCCUGACGCUGAGGUGCGAAAGCGUGGGUAGCAAACAGGAUUAGAUACCCUGGUAGUCCACGCUGUAAACGAUGGAUACUAGGUGUGGGAGGUAUCGACCCCUUCCGUGCCGCAGCUAACGCAAUAAGUAUCCCGCCUGGGGAGUACGGUCGCAAGGCUGAA
Molecule: ribosomal RNA, 376 nt
Filed under: uncultured Syntrophomonas sp.
Lineage: Bacteria; Bacillati; Bacillota; Clostridia; Eubacteriales; Syntrophomonadaceae
Description: bacterial SSU rRNA
Rfam family: Bacterial small subunit ribosomal RNA
Source: RNAcentral